Molecule: long non-coding RNA, 316 nt
Filed under: Physcomitrium patens
Lineage: Eukaryota; Viridiplantae; Streptophyta; Bryopsida; Funariales; Funariaceae
Description: long non-coding RNA (PPAT_LNC012466)
Source: RNAcentral
GCAAGGGUAAGUUUGGUGCUACCUUGUAGAAUAGAUAUUAAUUCAUUUUUGAAAGAUAUUGGUAAAAUAUAUUAAUAGUCUAUAUAAUAGGAAAUUCAGGAGGACGGAUGAGUGAUUUAGUUAUUAAAAGUGGUUAAUUACAGAAUUACGAUUAGAAUUUGGAGAAUCAAGGGAAAGUAUAUAAGAGUUGUAGAAGUUAAUUAGGGUGCCAGAUUGUAAUAGUCAUGAGCCGAGGACCAUCGCUAUGAUAGUGUGAGCCAGGGUAAGCUUGGUGCUACUUCUUUUUUUUUGUUUGUUAUUCUCUUUGAAUAAGAGG